AUCAGCGUUACAGUAGACACAGUCAUAGAAAUAAUUUUUCAUUGUUGUGUGUUUUUUUGUUGUUUAGCCCCACCUGUUUCCGUAUCUCGGCCUCUUCAUAAGGGAUAUCGGCUGCUUCACAUUCAGAUCAUUUCAAUUUGUUAAGCUGCGCUCUCACACACAGAAUAUUUCACCUCCACAUCCAACACCGACGUUGCGUUUGUUCCAGAUGGAGGUCUCCAGGAUGCGGUCCGCCUGGGCGGCUCUCUGCACCGCCGUGCUAGUGAUGUCAGGCUCUGCUGAAGGUGCUAGUUUGGUGACGUUAAAAGCGGCGAACACAGAACCAUCAUACUCUUAUGACUUAACCAUGGACGUCACCAACCGCAUCUACAGUGAUUCUCUCCUCAACCCUAACUCUCACGACUAUAAUAUGAUGUUUGGGGAAGUUAGCAGUGCGCUCUACUCUGUCUACGGCUGCCCCACUUGCGACACACGCACAUUUUAUCAAGGUGUAACAGCCAUGACCUUCAGUAACAAGGCUGGAUCUGUGGUUGUUCAGGCCACCAUCAUGUUCAGCUCAAGGCACACCAAUGCUGUGGUUAUUAAAUUCCUAUUUCUGUCAGCCAUCAGUGACAAAAAUGAAAUAAAUGGCCUGAAAAUCAACCCUGACUUCAUACAGGUCAUACAAGGAUCAGCUCCUGCACCGAUGAGCACUUCCCAUCCAACCACUACUCCUAGCCCUACUCCUACCACUACUACUCCAACUCCUACUACUUCUACCACUACUCCUAGCCCUACUCCUACCACUACUACUCCAACUCCUACUACUACAACUAUUUGUGGCACGAUUCCUCCAAGUACUCCUAACACUUCUCC
Molecule: long non-coding RNA, 855 nt
Organism: Ictalurus punctatus (channel catfish)
Lineage: Eukaryota; Metazoa; Chordata; Actinopteri; Siluriformes; Ictaluridae
Source: Ensembl